AUAUAGUCAAUCCCAACUAGUUUGCGAUUAAGGCUUGCUUGUUGUAGUAGCUGUUGGUAUUGAACAUGGAUCUGGGCACUUGUAUCCAACGAUCUGUUGAUCCAGAUUUUGUUCUUGAUAUAAGUCCAUAUUUAUUGUUGUUUUCUUGAAAAUGCAUCUGAAAAUAACUAGAAGCGAACAAAAAUUAUGUGAAGAUUAUAUUCAUUACUAUCUCACCUGGAACAUAUUGAAAGGUACAUUAAUAAGGAUGAAUCUUACCUUUUUUUUGCUGGUAUUGUUUAGCUAGGAGUAUUGAGGAUCAUGCCAAAAUGCAUGCUGCAUGCAUCCCAUUUUUGUCUUUCUGGUUUUCAUAAUUGAUUUAAUA
RNAcentral lists this unclassified non-coding RNA (364 nucleotides) under Hevea brasiliensis (rubber tree). The record is from RNAcentral. Lineage: Eukaryota; Viridiplantae; Streptophyta; Magnoliopsida; Malpighiales; Euphorbiaceae.